Molecule: long non-coding RNA, 897 nt
Organism: Oncorhynchus keta (chum salmon)
Lineage: Eukaryota; Metazoa; Chordata; Actinopteri; Salmoniformes; Salmonidae
Exons: 3
Source: RefSeq, a predicted model, not a curated record
GUUUAAGGGUUAGUGCUCACCUGUAGUAGAUACCCCCUCAUGUCCAGACCUCGUAGAGGGAACUCGACGUAGGUGGUUACUUUGUUCCUCAGGUAGGAUGUCCAGUGGAAUCUCUUCAGGUGCAGACACAACACCUUGGGCAGCUUCUGGACCCAGAACUUCUUGGUCGAUUUCUGUCUCUUCUUACACCUGUGGCACAUAUAGAGCUCUGCCUGGUCUAGUUCCUCCAGGUCAGUGAAGCUACACAGGCAGUCUGAAGAAGAGCAGGGACAGAGAGAUGUCGUGGAUUACACUAAACCAGAAAGGAUUUAAACCUGAAAUGGCUUGAGUCAAUAAGUAUUCAACCCCUUUGUUACGGAAAGCCAUAAGUUCAAUAAGUUAAAUAUAAUAAGUAAGUAAAGUAAGUAAAUGUAAAACAUUUGCUUAACAAGUUAGGUAAUAAGUUGCAUGGACUCACUCUGUGGGCAAGUAGUGUUGCCCACAGAGUGUUUAACAUGAAUGACUACCUCAUCUCUGUACCCCACACAUACAGAUAACGGUAAGGUCCCUCAUCUCUGUACCCCACACAUACAGAUAAUGGUAAGGUCCCUCAUCUCUGUACCCCACACAUACAGAUAAUGGUAAGGUCCCUCAUCUCUGUACCCCACACAUACAGAUAAUGGUAAGGUCCCUCAUCUCUGUACCCCACACAUACAGAUAAUGGUAAGGUCCCUCAUCUCUGUACCCCACACAUACAGAUAACGGUAAGGUCCCUUAGUCGAGCAGUGAAUUUCAAAACACAGAUUGAACGACAGACACCUAUUGGUAGAUAGGUUAAAAAAAAAAACACUUUGAAAAUAUCUCCCCGGAGAGGAAGGAACCCAGUCAGGGAUUUCACCAUGAGGCCAAUGGUGACUU